RNAcentral lists this ribosomal RNA (420 nucleotides) under uncultured bacterium. Its description in RNAcentral is "bacterial SSU rRNA". It matches the Rfam family "Bacterial small subunit ribosomal RNA", at positions 9 to 420 of the family's 1533-position model. The record is from RNAcentral.
CAGUUUGAUCCUGGAUCUUGAUGAACGCUGGCGAUAUGCUUAAGACAUGCGCUUCAAGGGGCAGCUUGGUCUUAGCUUGCUAGUACUGAUGGCGACCGGCCCACGGGUGCGUAACGCAUAUGCAACUUGCCUCAUCCAGGGGGAUAACCCCUCCAAAGACGGACUACUACCGCUUACACUCUAUGUUGGGCAUCCAAUGUAGAGGAAAUGAAAUUCGCUGUGAGAUAGGAAUGCGUCCCAUUAGCUAGUUGGUGAGGUAACGGCUCACCAAGGCGACAAUGGGUAGGGGAACUGAGAGGUUGAACCCCCACAUUGGUACUGACACUUAAACCCCACUCCUACCGCACGCAGCACCGAGGAAUAUUGGACAAUGGCCGAAAGCUUGAACCUACCAAGUCUGGUGAAGGAUGACUGUCUUAU